AGGAUGACCAUACUUUGUCACUUACACCACCAUUGAGCCCAUGCUUGAGUUGCUGUGGAUCGAGGAGGUCGCACACGAGAACACCAGCUAUAAAGUCCUCUUCCCUAUCACAACACCUCCGAUGGCCAGGCCUCCACAAGUUCGCAACUACACGCCCAUAGACACAGUUCCUUGAGCAGGCAGUGUUUUGUGCUUGAGUUGGGGACCUUCAACCUUGAUGUGGAGCUGCUGAACAUCACCUUUCCCACCAUGGUGCUAACUGUUGCAGAGUGCAACGCCAGGGGCUUCAAUGUUCAAGAGCAGAGAUCCCGGACAACACCUUGAAGACCUUCAGGAUGGAGGUGCCCUCUCAGACCGGUGGUCUUUAAGGAGAGAAGGGGGGAACAAGGUGUCACAACCUUCACUCUUCAGCUGAUCUACGGCCUGGUCAUCUUUCCAGAGUACGCUCCUUUCUCUCACUCUGCCGUUGUGGACGCUGUACUGCUGGACAUUGUAUG
This is a long non-coding RNA of Oncorhynchus kisutch (coho salmon), 497 nucleotides long. RefSeq lists it as uncharacterized. The transcript has 3 exons. The record is from RefSeq and is a predicted model, not a curated record. NCBI's taxonomy places the organism in Eukaryota, Metazoa, Chordata, Actinopteri, Salmoniformes, Salmonidae.